GGUGCGCCGGCUGGAGGCUGAGGAGCGCGGUCACCAGGCCACCGGCGCGGCCCGGGAGCGCGCCCAGCAGCAGGAAGUAGCGCGAGAGGUCCAGCAGGCCGGGGCCCAGCCCACGGCCGCACCGGCGGACCGCACCGCGCAGCAGCAAGAGAUCACUAGGGAGGUGAAGCACGUGGUGGCAGAGGUGCAGUCGGGGCAACCCCACAGUAGGUCACAACACGAGGCGCAAGAGCAGGAAAUAGCGAGGGAAAUCAAACAAGCUGAAGCGGAAGCGCAGUCGGGGCAAGGCCCUUCUGAUACAUCACUACAGGUGGCACAGCAGCAGGAGGUUGCGAGAGAGAUCAAACAAGCUGAGGCGGAAGCGCAAUCGGGACAAGGCUCUUCUGAUACAUCACGACAGGUAGCACAGCAGCAAGAGGUUGCGAGAGAGAUCGAACAAGCUGAAGCAGAAUCGCAGAAUGCAGACAGAUCGCAACAUGGGGCGCAACAGCAGGAGAUCGCGAGGGAGGUGAAACAAGUUGUGGCAGAAAUACGAUCGGGGCAGUCUCCGAGUGCCUUGCAGCAGGAAGCCCGAGAACGAGAGAUUGCAGGAGAAAUCACACAACUUGAGGCACAAGUCCAUGCUAACGCGGCCGAUUACUUAUCACCAGACACGGAUCGGUCAUUGGGUGAUAGCUACUCAGACGAAGAUGAAAACGAAGAUGACAGCGAACAGAAUGAUGAUGACCGAGAUCCUCACAUCUACGAUGAUUUCUUCGCUAAUGACGACGGCGCAGUGCAGAAAAAAGGUGAUCACGAGGAAGCGUCCUCCUGGAAUUCAAAAGACCACAAUGCUGCAGUUGACGCUCCAGAAACGCUGACCAGCGGCCAAACGCGGUCUGUGGGCAGCCAUCAAGGUCAGGCAGAGAUCUCAGCGGGCAGCAAGGGUCACGUCAAGGCCGCCGCCUUCAAGUCGUGGCAGGCGACGACCAUGACGGUGGCCAUGUGCGCCGUGAUUGGCCUUGUCCUGCUCACCGUGGUUGGAGUCUGGUUCCGCCACUUCAGCCCCGAAUCACCCAAGCCACAGAACCUGCUGCUGGAAGACGACGAGAACACCGUGUACAACAACACCACCAGCACCCGGCCGGCCGGCCCGCACCAGGUCGGUCGUUACGCCCGCCUGACGUGACCGUGACGUCACCCGUCGGUGUGACGUCAUCCGUCCGCCCCACCGCCGCACGCCGGGCCCUCGUCUCUCCGCAGCCGAGGUGGCCCACGGGAUGAGGUCACGAUGCAAACUCCCACGGGGUCACGAUGCAAUCUCCCAUCACCGCAUCGUCACAGGACACGCGGUGCGCGCAUCGCCUGGCGUCAGGCCACUGGACGUGUAUCGGGGUGUAGUGAGAUCUCGACGAGGUCGGGGUGUAACAGGCAAGUUCAGCUCGGUGCACCCCUUUGGUUGACCACCCACCAGCCAACCAUAACAGAGCCUACGGCUGACUGUGCGUUGGACGUUAGACGCGACGUUAGACGUUACGUUAGAAGGAAGUGUUUGUACUAUCGCUGCUACAUGCCGGCUCCCGGUGUGGCGAAGCACGCAUGUCUAAUCACGAACGCGUCCCAGAUCAGAGGGAAUGACUGUGGCUUGAGUUGGGAUUCCGAAUACCGAUUCCAUCCGGUAUUUUGCGAUUCAGUUUGCUACACGAUCAUAAAGCGAAGCUGAGUCCUAAUCAAGCGUAUUUGUCAGUCAGGGUACACCACAUGGUUAAAGAAAGGCGGGGCGUCCAUUAAGAAUCGGUAGCGCUGGCCAUGUCAAACAUGCGUAGGAAGUCCCAGUGACUGCGCACGCACAUUGGCACCAUGGUGUAGUGAAUGGGACCAAACCGAAUGACCCAUAACUUGCAGCUGAUAAAGCGAACAAGUGAGCCUGCGUGGCGGACAGCAAGCCGGCAACGACGUCAGUGAAUCGACAUCAAUAUACUGUGAUUUUUCCAA
This 1974-nucleotide long non-coding RNA is filed under the name Pollicipes pollicipes. Its description in RNAcentral is "uncharacterized LOC119104591". The record is from RNAcentral. Lineage: Eukaryota; Metazoa; Arthropoda; Thecostraca; Pollicipedomorpha; Pollicipedidae.